CCGUCGCGGGCGCAGGAAAUUUGAGAGGAGCUGUCCUUAGUACGAGAGGACCGGGAUGGACGCACCGCUGGUGUACCAGUUGUUCUGCCAAGGGCAUCGCUGGGUAGCUAUGUGCGGACGGGAUAAGUGCUGAAAGCAUCUAAGCAUGAAGCCCCCCUCAAGAUGAGAUUUCCCAUUCCGCAAGGAAGUAAGAUCCCUGAAAGAUGAUCAGGUUGAUAGGUCUGAGGUGGAAGCGUGGUGACACGUGGAGCUGACAGAUACUAAUAGAUCGAGGACUUAACCUAU
Molecule: ribosomal RNA, 285 nt
Filed under: Bacillus pumilus
Lineage: Bacteria; Bacillati; Bacillota; Bacilli; Caryophanales; Bacillaceae
Description: partial 23S ribosomal RNA
Rfam family: Bacterial large subunit ribosomal RNA
Source: RNAcentral